Molecule: long non-coding RNA, 2294 nt
Organism: Musa acuminata AAA Group (dessert banana)
Lineage: Eukaryota; Viridiplantae; Streptophyta; Magnoliopsida; Zingiberales; Musaceae
Exons: 3
Source: RefSeq, a predicted model, not a curated record
UUCAUAUAUUGAAGAAAAUUUAAUGCUUCGUUGUUUGAUGUAGGAAACUAUUUUAUCCAAAUGAAAUGGUUGUUAUUCUUGUUUAGCUGGCAAUGAAUUUUCUUCUAUAUUAUUGUCUUAUGAAUUACACAACCAUAAUUGUGUUCUGAUGAAAAACAUUUGCUAUUGCUGAACUGUAAAUGGGUUUUAUGUUUGGUUAUCUCUUCUUGGAAAGUGUAGAUCAUGUAAUUGUGUGCUUGUGUAUAAUUUUUAGUUGUUUCAGCUUGUUUAUGAUUCACUUGGUUGUAAGAAGAACUGCAACAUACUUUUCUUUCUUUGUAUGAUAACUUUGUUUGUGUUUCUAAACCAGUAACUAUUUUAUGAACUUGUGAUCAAAGAAAGACGUCCUUCAUUUUGUGCUACUGAUGAAUAGUAGCACAGGUUUGUUUUUUUUUACAGCAUGUGUUGGUGUCAUUGUUCAUGCAGCAUAUGUUUGCUGAGCAUGUGAAGUACAAUUAUGGGGCAGCGGUGCAGGCCUGUAAACCAUUCAUGCUGCAUUUGCACAAUCCAGGUCAAUGCCAGGAUGUGCCGUUUCAAUAAUGGUGUCAAUGGUACAAAAUGAGCUUUUGGUAUGUGCCUUGGAAUGCAUCGAGCAUGAAUUGUACCAUUUAAUGAAUAGAAGCCAAAUGGCACCUUAUACUUGGAUUUUAAUAACUUAAGAUAACAAAGGAAUUGUUCUUUGUAAAUAUGCCAAAAAUGGGACGAUAGAUGAUCACCGAUAAAGAUCUAUUUUGGGAAAGCUUUUCUGCAAGGACAUUGGAGUUUAACUGGGAUGCAUCUACUUCAGCAUUUGAAUUAAAGGGCAUUAGCAGCCAAAUUGACGUAAGAAAGAAAACCACAUAUUUAAAGCAUUUAAAAAUACUUGGAGGUUUAUGUAUGCUGGAUACUGCAUCAGACUUCUGUUUACAUUUGUUAUACGCUUGAAAGAAAACUUCCAAUUUCCAUUUGGACCAUGAUUACCCUCGAGUUGGAAUGACGUCCAUCAGAAUGCUUUCUUGUUAUUGUUCAUAUGAUCUAACAAUUUGGAAUGACAUCUGUUUGGAUCUGAGUCUGAUGUAGGUACUGAUAAAGAUCUAUUUUCUUGCUCUUUAUAUAUCUUUACCAGUGAUGCUUAUAAGUAAUUUCUUGUCUUAUCACAUGUCAGUUAUUUUCUACGCUGUCAUGGCAGAGUUUCAUCUUUGUUAUUAUGUAUCUGGCACUAUUUACCCUUUGUGUUGGUAGCUGUUAAAAUUAUAUGGCAAAUUUUGAAAAUCACACCACCAUUGUCCUGCUGUUCUGAGCUUCUAGAUCAGAAAAAAGAGAAUUCCAUAGGAUUCAAACUACAUAUCUGUACUUAAAACUUUGUACGUAAUUGAAUGAAUUGGAGCUUUUCUUGUGACAGGGAUUAGAGACAGGGAUAGUACUAACGGUACUAGACAGGAUUAUGUUAUUUGCUCUCUUUCAAAACUCUUAAUUCUGAUACUGGAGAAGCGUAUCCUUUCUGUUGUUCUGAAUUCAUUAUUCAAGUUGUUAUAUGUAUGAAAAUUUUAUCAGAGCAUGCUCAUGUAGAAUACUUUGUCAUUUUCUUUUUAUCUGUUACAGGUAACUAGUGUCUGGUUUAUACAUGUGCUUCUGAAUUUACCUUCAAAGAAGUAAUCUUUUGUACCAUCAAUAUGCAGGUAUUGUUGUUGAUGGGGAAUUUAUCUAUCAAUCUGACCAGCCCUGACUUUGAAGCGCAUAGAAAAUUACUCGCAUCAUUCAGUGGUGGCACAGAGGACUUGAAUUCUGGUAUUGCUAACAACCUCACUUGUGAAACUGUCGCUCCAUUAUGGUGAAAGGUGAAUGAAUGGUAAUUAUGCAGUCUCGAAAGCUAUGGAUUGUACAUCAAUCAUUUUUCCAAGGCUGUGAAGGUUAAACCGAUGAUUAUAUCAAGUGAAGCGAUUGUACCACUACUGGUAUUAGCUUUUGCUGAUACAGGAGCCUUGAUAUCAUAAGAAUGAGGGGUAGUCAGAUUUUUUUUAAUGCUUCAACCGAUCUUGGCCAGUUAUUAAUAAUCCGAUUUGCCGGGAUAGAGUGUUGUUUGUGUAUAUAACAUUUUGUUAGAUCCAUGGAAGCUUUUUAUGAUUUGCUAGGUUUGGGAGUAAUAAGGUGAUUCCUUCAUGUAUCUAUAUAUCCUGGUUUGUUUUUCCCAGCUUGAAGGAUCUGUGACCUUGGAGCAUUGAGAUGCUAAAAUUAUUUGCCUAAUAUAUCAUGAAUAAAGGCAAGUUAUUAUGGAA